This 207-nucleotide microRNA precursor is filed under the name Oryza nivara. RNAcentral's name for it is "MIR812 microRNA precursor family". It matches the Rfam family "MIR812 microRNA precursor family". Lineage: Eukaryota; Viridiplantae; Streptophyta; Magnoliopsida; Poales; Poaceae. The record is from Rfam by way of RNAcentral.
UUUAAAUAUAGUAGUGAAUUUUCAUAUCCAAUGUUUAAACGUUCGUUUUAUUUAAAUUUUUUUAUAGUUCGUACAUUAUUAUUAUUAUUAGAUGAUAAAAUAUGACUACUAUUUUAUGUAUGCCUUAUUUUUUAAAAGUUUCAUAAUUUUUUAAAUAAGAUGGAUAAUUAAAUAUUGAUCACGGAAACCCGUGUAACUACACUUAAA